GUCCGCACGGUAAACGAUGGAUGCCCGUUAUUGGCGAUAUACAGUCAGUGACCAAGCGAAAGCGUUAAGCAUCCCACCUGGGGAGUACGCCGGCAACGGUGAAACUCAAAGGAAUUGACGGGGGCCCGCACAAGCGGAGGAACAUGUGGUUUAAUUCGAUGAUACGCGAGGAACCUUACCCGGGCUUGAAUUGCAGACGACGGGCAUAGAGAUAUGCCUUCCCUUCGGGGCGUCUGUGAAGGUGCUGCAUGGUUGUCGU
This 259-nucleotide ribosomal RNA is filed under the name uncultured bacterium. RNAcentral describes it as "partial 16S ribosomal RNA". It matches the Rfam family "Bacterial small subunit ribosomal RNA", at positions 793 to 1055 of the family's 1533-position model. The record is from RNAcentral.